UGACCUCGGAUCAGGUAGGGAUACCCGCUGAACUUAAGCAUAUCAAUAAGCGGAGGAAAAGAAACCAACAGGGAUUGCCUCAGUAACGGCGAGUGAAGCGGCAAGAGCUCAAAUUUGAAAGCUGGCUCCUUCGGGGUCCGCAUUGUAAUUUGCAGAGGAUGCUUCGGGAGCGGUCCCCAUCUAAGUGCCCUGGAACGGGACGUCAUAGAGGGUGAGAAUCCCGUAUGGGAUGGGGUGUCCGCGCCCGUGUNAAGCUCCUUCGACGAGUCGAGUUGUUUGGGAAUGCAGCUCUAAAUGGGUGGUAAAUUUCAUCUAAAGCUAAAUAUUGGCCGGAGACCGAUAGCGCACAAGUAGAGUGAUCGAAAGAUGAAAAGCACUUUGAAAAGAGAGUUAAAAAGCACGUGAAAUUGUUGAAAGGGAAGCGCUUGCGACCAGACUCGCUCGCGGGGUUCAGCCGGCAUUCGUGCCGGUGUACUUCCCCGCGGGCGGGCCAGCGUCGGUUUGGGCGGUCGGUCAAAGGCCCUCGGAAGGUAACGCCCCCUCGGGGGCGUCUUAUAGCCGAGGGUGCAAUGCGACCUGCCCGGACCGAGGAACGCGCUUCGGCUCGGACGCUGGCAUAAUGGUCGUAAGCG
RNAcentral lists this ribosomal RNA (632 nucleotides) under Penicillium sp. DET 2002a. RNAcentral describes it as "eukaryotic LSU rRNA". It matches the Rfam family "Eukaryotic large subunit ribosomal RNA", at positions 1 to 646 of the family's 3401-position model. The record is from RNAcentral. Lineage: Eukaryota; Fungi; Ascomycota; Eurotiomycetes; Eurotiales; Aspergillaceae.